This 334-nucleotide ribosomal RNA is filed under the name uncultured fungus. RNAcentral's name for it is "eukaryotic LSU rRNA". The stretch from base 163 to 334 matches the Rfam family "Eukaryotic large subunit ribosomal RNA", at positions 1 to 170 of the family's 3401-position model. The record is from RNAcentral. Lineage: Eukaryota; Fungi.
CUAGAGGGUUUAUGCUGUGCUAUCUUUCCCUCAGCUCCUCUCAAAUGCAUUAGCAGUGAACUUUACACAUUGCCUUCAGCGUGAUAAUCGUCUACGUUGUCGCAUUAUGUAUUCAUACGUUCUCGCUUACAAUCGUCUCUCUGAGACAUUUUUUCUAACUUCUGAUCUCAAAUCAGGUAGGACUACCCGCUGAACUUAAGCAUAUCAAUAAGCGGAGGAAAAGAAACUAACAAGGAUUCCCCUAGUAACUGCGAGUGAACCGGGAAAAGCUCAAAUUUAAAAUCUGGCAGCAUUUCGCUGUCCGAGUUGUAGUCUAGAGAAGCGUCUUCCGCGC